CUGCUGCCUCCCGUAGGAGUUUGGGCCGUGCCUCAGUCCCAAUGUGGCCGUUCACCCUCUCAGGCCGGCUACUGAUCGUCGCCUUGGUGGGCUGUUACCCCGCCAACAAGCUAAUCAGACGCGGAUCCAUCGUAUACCACCGGAGUUUUUCACACCGUCUCAUGCGAGACUGUGCGCUUAUGCGGUAUUAGCACCUAUUUCUAAGUGUUAUCCCCCAGUAUACGGCAGGUUAUCCACGCGUUACUCACCCGUCCG
Molecule: ribosomal RNA, 255 nt
Filed under: uncultured bacterium
Lineage: Bacteria
Description: partial 16S ribosomal RNA
Source: RNAcentral